GAUGAAACAAAUGAAAGAUAUUGAAGAGAAAAAACAGCGAUUAACGGGUGACAGGAAUCCAGUGUCUCAGCCAGGUGCCCAGAAGCCUAGGUCUGAAGCUACAGGAGAUGCAGCCAGAAUGAGGGUGGCCAAGUGUGGGGGGUUGAACACCCUUCUCUCUCUUUCCUGCCGGAAUCCUGUUUAUCCAGCUGUUUCCCUGAAUUUGAUGCCCCUUGUAAUUACAUUUAAUGAGACUCCGAAUAUUAACUGGCACAAUAGCAAAGCGAUGAUCUCUAGUUGAAAACUCCAACAAGACAGGCUGUUCAGCUAGGGAUCUUCCUGUCUCCACCUCCUACAGCUCCUGGAUUGGUGAAUAAACAUGAUCGUAGACAUGGUGUAAUGUCUAAUCUAUUUCUGAAUGUAAUGGCAUUGAAAUAUUUUGAUGGAAGUAGGAGGACACAUAGUAAAAUAUUCAUGAUUCACUGGUCAUCUGGUAAAUCCCUGAAGAAAUGCUGAUAUGUACACCGCUGCCUUCUCUCAUGAGCUUCUAUAUGCAACAGAUGAGUGUAAUUGUCUAUGAAACAAAACAUCGGUAUCUACAUAUGAAUUUCAUAUUCAUGGCAAUGGAUGGAGACUAACAACAGUGCUUCUUAUGGUUUCUCUUCGUAGCUUAAAUUUCUAGAGAUCCACCUGCCUCUGCCUCCCGAGUGCUGGUAUUAAAGGAGUGUACCACCACUGACCAGAAAGAGAAACAUGAUUCUACCUACAGCUUAGACCUGAAAUGGCUGAAACUGAUCCUCACCCAGUCUCCCUGGUUUCACCUGGAAAAUUAAGGACUUGAUCUGGAUGAUUCGAAGGGUUCCUCCCAGCUUACUAUUCGGGAUUUCUUUAUAAUCUAUGGCAUUACUGCUUUUACUGUGUACUCCAGUGGCUCUAUCAGAGCAGGCGGGAUAGUUUUGAGAAGAAACUGAAACUGUCUCCUGGGAAGAGUUUUCUUUUAAUAACCAUUAGGACAACAGGAACAUUGUGUUUUUUUAUUAUUAAAUUUGUCUGUUUCCCAGUGCUGAUAGCAUCUUCUGAAUAUAAA
Molecule: long non-coding RNA, 1066 nt
Filed under: Cricetulus griseus (Chinese hamster)
Lineage: Eukaryota; Metazoa; Chordata; Mammalia; Rodentia; Cricetidae
Description: lncRNA (ENSCGRG00015041565.1)
Source: RNAcentral